Molecule: microRNA precursor, 178 nt
Filed under: Medicago truncatula (barrel medic)
Lineage: Eukaryota; Viridiplantae; Streptophyta; Magnoliopsida; Fabales; Fabaceae
Description: MIR2670 microRNA precursor family
Rfam family: MIR2670 microRNA precursor family
Source: Rfam by way of RNAcentral
UUGGGGCAAAAUAGUGAGUAGCCGAUUUGGGGAAGUAAUCAACCCUUGGGAUAAAAUUAAAUUUGCUUCUUUUUACCCCAAAAACUUUUUACUGUGGAUAAAAAGAACCAGAUUUAGAUUUAACAAAAGGGUUAAUGAUGUAUUUUCCUCAAGAAUGCUGCUCGCUAUUUUGCCCCAA